RNAcentral lists this ribosomal RNA (442 nucleotides) under Vibrio sp. NVI-7150. RNAcentral describes it as "bacterial SSU rRNA". It matches the Rfam family "Bacterial small subunit ribosomal RNA", at positions 54 to 475 of the family's 1533-position model. The record is from RNAcentral. Lineage: Bacteria; Pseudomonadati; Pseudomonadota; Gammaproteobacteria; Vibrionales; Vibrionaceae.
CAUGCAAGUCGAGCGGAAACGACAMYAWCRAUYCUUCGGRUGMKUUAAUGGGCGUCGAGCGGCGGACGGGUGAGUAAUGCCUAGGAAAUUGCCUUGAUGUGGGGGAUAACCAUUGGAAACGAUGGCUAAUACCGCAUAAUGCCUACGGGCCAAAGAGGGGGAUCUUCGGACCUCUCGCGUCAAGAUAUGCCUAGGUGGGAUUAGCUAGUUGGUGAGGUAAUGGCUCACCAAGGCGACGAUCCCUAGCUGGUCUGAGAGGAUGAUCAGCCACACUGGAACUGAGACACGGUCCAGACUCCUACGGGAGGCAGCAGUGGGGAAUAUUGCACAAUGGGCGAAAGCCUGAUGCAGCCAUGCCGCGUGUAUGAAGAAGGCCUUCGGGUUGUAAAGUACUUUCAGUUGUGAGGAAGGGUGUGUAGUUAAUAGCUGCGCAUCUUGACGU